RNAcentral lists this ribosomal RNA (253 nucleotides) under uncultured bacterium. RNAcentral describes it as "partial 16S ribosomal RNA". It matches the Rfam family "Bacterial small subunit ribosomal RNA", at positions 524 to 776 of the family's 1533-position model. The record is from RNAcentral.
UACGUAGGCAGCGAGCGUUGUUCGGAGUUACUGGGCGUAAAGGGUGUGUAGGCGGUUGUUUAAGUUUGGUGUGAAAUCUCCCGGCUCAACUGGGAGGGUGCGCCGAAUACUGAAUGACUAGAGUGCGGGAGAGGUGAGUGGAGUUCCUGGUGUAGCGGUGAAAUGCGUAGAUAUCAGGAGGAACACCGGUGGUGUAGACGGCUCACUGGACCGUAACUGACGCUGAGACACGAAAGCGUGGGUAGCAAACAGG